RNAcentral lists this unclassified non-coding RNA (188 nucleotides) under uncultured Russula. RNAcentral describes it as "sequence contains ITS1". The record is from RNAcentral. Lineage: Eukaryota; Fungi; Basidiomycota; Agaricomycetes; Russulales; Russulaceae.
UCGUACAACCGAGGCGUGAGGGCUGUCGCUGACCUUCAAUGGUUGUGCACGCCCGAGCGUUCUCACAAUCCAUCUCACCCUUUUGUGCAUCACCGCGUGGGUCCCCCCCUUUGUGGGAGGGUUCGCGUUUUCACAUAAAACUCGAUACAGUCUAGAAUGUUUAUUUUUGCGGUCACACGCAAUCAAUA